AUGACUUUUUCCAUCUUUGCGGAUAAAUGGUCAGACUCGAUCUGUGAAAUAUGCGAAGAAGGACCGACAUUAUGGUGCAAAUGUAGCAGACAAAAGGGUUUGGGCGAGCUUUUGCCAGUUAAAUUUGGCUAACCUGCAGAAAGCCUAUUGUCAAGCCAGCCAUGCUUCACUGAGCUCUCUUCCCUCUUUAUGGUUAAGUGAACCUCAAAACAAUGACAAAGAAAUAUGCACUGAGUCACAUAUUCUAAGAAAUAGACUGUACUCUCCUCAAAUCGAAAUAACGGCACUUUAAUUCUUGGAUUUUCCACAUUUUCGUUGGUAAAGCUCCUAUUUGCUUUCUCUGAAUCUGUAUCAGUUCAUGCAGUUCUGCCAAGUGGGGAAGCUUUGCAGGACACUGCCACUGUAGCACUUGAAAUAUUAAGAUGAACAGAACAAGCAAAAGGUGGGAAAACUGGAAAGAUUGAAUGUCCUUUGGAGUUCACAGAGGUUUGGCAGUGGGAGGAGAAAAACAAAACGAAGCAUAGUGGGAGUGUUGAACCGACUUUCCCAAGAUCCCCAGGAAAAGCAAAGCUACUAUAAGAACUCACUACAUCAACGCGUAUUCAUUAUUGAGACCAUCCUAGGAGAGCUGCAUCAUCACAGGCUGCUCUGAGGUCUGUGCCCAAUCAAGCAAAGAACAACGGAGAUAAUCACACUGUGCAGAGGGUGACCAAUUUAGAAAAAAAGGACUCUUAAGAAGAUCGUCCAACUUCCUUAAAUGACUUUCAUUAAUUUUACACCUUUUGCCAAUUAAUUGCACUUAUGAGCCUUGCUUGUCAAUUACUGCAUUCUCACUUUCAGCAACUGAACUAAUCUUUGCCUAUUCAUAUUUUGUUUUUUAAAUAGGUAUUUCCAAUUAUUGAUAUAAAUCUUUAUGAUUACAUUACAAAUGUCUGACCAUAUUUAUUCAUUCUUCAUAGAGACAAAAUAAAGGUUCUAUUAUCUACAC
Macaca mulatta (Rhesus monkey) is the source of this 988-nucleotide non-coding RNA. The record is from RefSeq and is a predicted model, not a curated record. NCBI's taxonomy places the organism in Eukaryota, Metazoa, Chordata, Mammalia, Primates, Cercopithecidae.